RNAcentral lists this non-coding RNA (1406 nucleotides) under Nuclearia simplex. RNAcentral describes it as "SSU rRNA". It matches the Rfam family "Bacterial small subunit ribosomal RNA". Lineage: Eukaryota; Rotosphaerida; Nucleariidae. The record is from RNAcentral.
AUAAUGUUGGGUUUGAUUCUGGCCCAUGAUGUAACCUUAUGAUUGAACAUAACACAUGCAAGUCAUUUUUCACUUUCGUUGAUAUAAUGGCGUACGGGUGAGUAAAAUUAAGAUUAUAUAUAUGGUUGAUUUAUUCUACCUUAUUUGUAAUUUUAACAGGAUUAGCUUCGGCGAUGAUCCUUAGUUGUUCUUAGCGGAUUUACAACCACAAUGAAACUGAAAUACGGUUCAUACGUCCAAAGGACGGCAGCAGUGGGGAAUAUUGGACAAUGGACUAAAGUCUGAUUCAGUUACAAUCAUAGAUAUUUAAAUUAUGAUUUUUUAUCUUAUAGUCCUGACUAAUUACGUGCCAGCAGUCGCGGUAAUACGUAAAGGGCUAAGGUUCAUCAAAUUGACUGGGUUUAAAGCGUUUGAAGAGUCCCACUACAUUUAAUUUUUUCUUAAAUCCCACUCUCGUGGUUUUUUAUUAUAUGUUUUGGGUUGAGUUUUUAGGAGGAAUAUAGAAUUUAAUAGGUAGCAAUGAAAUGCUUUAAUCUUUUAAGGAAUUUCAAUAGUUAAUACAAUAUUCCAUUAUUAACUGACCUUUUAUAACGAAAGUCUGGGUAGCAAAUUGGAUUAGAGACCCAAGUAGUCCAGACUAUCAAUACAGAUGAGCAAUUGUGGCUCAUCCACCUGGGGAGUACGAUCGCAAGAUUAAAACUCAAAGAAAUUGACGGGGAUUCAUAUAAAUGGUGGUGCAUGUUGUUUAAUUCGAUAACACACGCUAAAUCUUACCAAUUCUUGGUUCCCUCCGUGCUAGCGCCCCGGGCCCCCUUGACUUUCAGGGGGGCCGGGGGCGGAGCCGAGGUAUUUCAGGUGUUGCAUGGCUGUCUUCAGUUCGUGUCUUGAGAUUUUUGGUUCAUUCCUUUAACGAACGGAAUCCUUUAGCUGCCGUUGAGACUAGUGUUGGGCCCCCGCGUAGCGCGCGGGGUACCAGUCGCUAUCGCGCCGCUUACAAAAUCCGAAAGGGUUGGGAAGGAAAGGAAAAUGACAAGCACUCAUGACCCUUAUGAAUUGGGCUACAAACGUGCUACAUUGAACAAAUCAAUUUUAGUUCUUACCCGAGAGGGCUAGCUCUAAUUAAUUUUGUUCUUAGUUCGAAUAACUCUCUGCAACUCGAGUGUUAUUAGUUGGAAUCAUUAGUAAUCGUUUAUCAUAUUGAAACGGUGAAUCUUUAAUUGAAUCCUGUACACACCGCCCAUCACGUUUUGGAAGUUAUUUUUUAAUAAAAUCUUGUUUUGAGACUUGAUUAAUUUUGUUUUUACCUUUUGUUCUACGGUCUCCUUGAUGUUGUUAAAUUUGUAGUAACUGAAAUGAAGUUGUAACAAGGUAGUGGUAAUAGAAAUUGCCGCUGGAUUAAUUUUGAU